GCGGAGGAAAAGAAAAUAACAAUGAUUUCCCUAGUAACGGCGAGUGAAGAGGAAAGAGCUCAAAGUUGGAACCUGUUUGGCUUAGCUAAACCGGAUUGUAAACUGUAGAAGUGUUUUCCUGAUACGCCAGAUAAAUAAGUCCUUUGGAACAGGGCAUCAUAGAGGGUGAGAAUCCCGUCUUUGGUCUGAGCAGUUGUCUUUUGUGAUACAUUUUCAAAGAGUCAGGUUGUUUGGGAAUGCAGCCUAAAUAGGGAGGUAAAUCUCUCCUAAAGCUAAAUAUUUGCGAGAGACCGAUAGCGAACAAGUACCGUGAGGGAAAGAUGAAAAGAACUUUGAAAAGAGAGUUAAACAGUAUGUGAAAUUGUUAAAAGGGAACCGUUUGGAGCCAGACUGGCUUGACUGUAAUCAAUCUAGAUCCUUCUGGAUGCACUUGCAGUUUAUGCCUGCCAACGACAAUUUUUUUUGGGAGAAAAAACUAGGAGGAAUGUGGCCCCUCGGGGUGUUAUAGCUUCUUAGAAAAUAUCCUGGAUUGGAUUGAGGAUCGCAGUGAAUGCCUUUAGGCAAGAUUGCUGGGUGCUUUUGUUGAUAAAUGCUAGAAUUUCUGCUUCAGGUGGUGCUAGUGUUUAAAGGUAAAACUCGCCUGGUAUAUUUUUUAUUCGCUUAGGUUGUUGGCUUA
RNAcentral lists this ribosomal RNA (676 nucleotides) under Mucor fuscus. Its description in RNAcentral is "eukaryotic LSU rRNA". It matches the Rfam family "Eukaryotic large subunit ribosomal RNA", at positions 50 to 633 of the family's 3401-position model. Lineage: Eukaryota; Fungi; Mucoromycota; Mucoromycetes; Mucorales; Mucoraceae. The record is from RNAcentral.